GUUUAAUUUUUAAUUUUUUGGUUUUUAAAUUUUUAAAAUUUCGAAGAAUUUUUGAUGUAUUCUUUGUUCUGUGUCGGAGUGUGUAACUGAUGCGUUCUUGGAACAUUUGGGCAUUGUAUGUGCGGUGCUGAAGAGGGACUGGAGGGGGGUCCGAAGGCGUUGUACCGUAUUGGAGGGGUUUCUUUGCAUAAGUGCUUGAUUUAUUUAACUUGUGUAUAUAUAUAUAUAUAUAUAUAUAUUGUAACCGUAAAAAUUAAAGAUGAAACAAAAUCGAUUAUGUUGAGCUGCUCAACGAGUGUGGCGGAGAUUGAUUUGUACUCUGUGAUAGUUCUGACGGAACUAUUAUAACGUUUGAUGAAAGGCGUAUUCCGGGUCUUCGACUUCCGUUCCGGCGUCGGACUAUUAAUGGCGCGUGUGAACCGCCCAAACCCGUUCGAAAGUCACGUGAUUUCAACCACUGUUAGUUACCUUCUGGAUGACUAUUUCACCGGCUUCUCUUAGUAUUUUGAUAUUAAAGAAUCCAGUGGCAAUCUGAACCAUUUAAAUGUUAGCCUUCCCUAAAUCAUCUUAAAAAAUUACAGAAAAAAUUGAAUUUUUUUUAUUUAUGAAAAAAUUUUUCAAUUUUGAACAAAUAUGAUGUAAACCUUUAUAAAUUAAUACAUUGUAUAUCAGAUUAUAAAAAAAAAAAAAAUCUCGCGAUAACAGUAAAACGGCGUGCGACAUCACGCGCCGGUGAGUUAUGGCGGAGUUGACAAAUUUAGCUCGAUUACGUUUCAGAAUACUGUAUUAUUUUUCGUUUAUUUUAUUUCAUUAAAUAAACGGAGUACAAAAAUAAUACUAAACCAGUUACAACAGAACUUUGAAGUGUACUCGCCAAUAAAACUAAAAUUAUGAUAUUGAUUUUUAUUGCAGUAAAACUGAUUAAAUGAAAUUCCAGCUCUAACUACAAAUUAUUUUAUUUUUUAGAAAAUUUGAUUGUACGUAUAUGUAAUAUUUUUUUUGUAAAUUUUAGAUGAUGCUGAGGAAUACUGCUCGAAAAUGUUCCUCCUAUGCAUUUUUUCAAAAAUUUAGACAUCUUAAUAAGCGUAUCUUUCUUCUGUAUUGACUGAUAUUGAGCACAGCAUUUGUUACAUG
RNAcentral lists this long non-coding RNA (1134 nucleotides) under Androctonus crassicauda. The record is from RNAcentral. Lineage: Eukaryota; Metazoa; Arthropoda; Arachnida; Scorpiones; Buthidae.